Molecule: ribosomal RNA, 166 nt
Filed under: Dicliptera insularis
Lineage: Eukaryota; Viridiplantae; Streptophyta; Magnoliopsida; Lamiales; Acanthaceae
Description: 5.8S ribosomal RNA
Rfam family: 5.8S ribosomal RNA (bases 1-79)
Source: RNAcentral
AAUCCCGUGAACCAUCGAGUUUUUGAACGCAAGUUGCGCCCGAAGCCUUCGGGCCGAGGGCACGCCUGCCUGGGCGUCACGCAUCGCGUCGCCCCCUCCACCCCGUCCUAGUAGGCGGGGGGGGCGGAGACUGGCCUCCCGUGCGCUCCCGUCGCGCGGCCGGCCC